Molecule: long non-coding RNA, 758 nt
Organism: Gasterosteus aculeatus aculeatus (three-spined stickleback)
Lineage: Eukaryota; Metazoa; Chordata; Actinopteri; Perciformes; Gasterosteidae
Source: Ensembl
CGGACAUUGAUGCUAGUAUUAAGUGCUCUCGCGCCGGCUUCUUUCUAAUGCUAUUGUGAUCGGUACGGAGUCAGAUGUUGUCUGGUGAACGCUACGGACGACGGGGGGUGUAAAUUACGCUACGUGCAGCGAAUCGGGUUACAGAUGCGCCGUUUACCGUCAGCGAGGGAAGACAAGUGGGAGAGGGCCCUGCCAGUGGCGCAAUGAAGAAGGAAAUGUCCAUUCUAAUAUCCUGUCUGGGGCGUCUACUCUCUCUGUCGGCCUCACUUCUAUCUGUGGAUCUGGAUGGAUCGAGUGCGGGGAAGACGCCGCCGCGCCGAUAUCUGAUGUUCUCCUCGCUCGCUCUCUUUUUGUAUUCAGCGUGGCAAGGACACGCAGCAAAUUACUAGGGAAAGGAGACGCACAUCCUUUGUGGUCUGUUUAGGAAUAAAGUCCACGGAAGUGUGUACAGCAAGUGUCAUGUGAAAAAGAAUGAGUUGCAUUAUAUUUUUUAAAUGACAAAUGACAUGCGGCAAUAUGUCCACUUUGUUACUUUAAUAUUACAAUAACCAGCUCCACCUGUCAAAAGUCCAUUAAGCAAGUUGAAUUUCUGUGGGCACAUUACUUCUGAAACAGCCUCCAUUAUAUAAAUGAAAUCCCAUUAUUAUUUUCUAUAUAUGUCAGAGACUAAAUUACACACUGUAGUAGGACAAGCGAUUUACUCAGCAAAAGCUGACAGUGCUCUGAAGAUUCAUGACCACGACCCCGCUGACCUGUGA